AGUAGGUGGGCACUCUAAGGAGACUGCCGGUGACAAACCGGAGGAAGGUGGGGAUGACGUCAAGUCAUCAUGGCCCUUACGGCCUGGGCUACACACGUGCUACAAUGGUCGGUACAAAGGGUUGCCAAGCCGCGAGGUGGAGCUAAUCCCAUAAAACCGAUCGUAGUCCGGAUCGCAGUCUGCAACUCGACUGCGUGAAGUCGGAAUCGCUAGUAAUCGUGAAUCAGAAUGUCACGGUGAAUACGUUCCCGGGCCUU
Molecule: ribosomal RNA, 257 nt
Filed under: uncultured Pseudomonas sp.
Lineage: Bacteria; Pseudomonadati; Pseudomonadota; Gammaproteobacteria; Pseudomonadales; Pseudomonadaceae
Description: partial 16S ribosomal RNA
Rfam family: Bacterial small subunit ribosomal RNA
Source: RNAcentral